UAGAGUUGUGCAUCAUUGUGUGUUGUAAAAAAAACACAUCUCCGCUUCCUUGCGUUCACUAGCAUAUAAAUGUCAGCCAUUUUGAAGCACAUACAUAUCAAGUGCAGAUUGGAGCUGUAUGUCCACCAUGACAGUCACAAUGAUCCCCCCCCCUCAUUCUCUUCUCUCCCCUACACACAUGCCACCGUGUCUCUGCUAAAGCUGGGGAGAGAGAAUAAAACAGGAGACAACAUUUAAAGCACCAGAGCUCAAUCUAGACACAUAUGAAGUAGGGAUGUGUGAGCCGGCAUCCACGGAUCAUCCACGGAUUCCCCACAGCCCCCCAAGGGGCAGCGACAAGGCAAGCGGAGGGUUAAAGGGAGCAAGAGGCGAGUCCUAGAGCUGCCUGGAAGGCAUUGUACUGGAAGAGAACCCACCCGCCACCAGCCCCAACACUGGAGAGGAGACUUGGCUUUUCCUUCUUCCUGGCGUCAUGUCAGAUCUGGGACAUUCACAUUGCCUGGAUUGAAGCACUUAUAAAAUACAUGCCAGGUUGAUCAGAAGAGUAUUAUACUUCCUUUCUUCUAGCAGACCAGUAUACAGCAAUUACGGCUGGGGAAGCAAGAUUCUGUGCCGCAACAUGCAAACUGAGAUGGGAGCCGUUGCUUAAUUGUAAUUGAGACCUCUGUAUGUAUAUGUUUUGAUACUCUGUUACCCAGUCCUGUUAUUGAUUUUAUUUUACUUUAAUUUUAUUUUCCAUUUUAUUUUUUUAUUGCUGGUCAUUGACUGUAAUAAUAAAUUCAUUCAUUCAUUCA
This is a long non-coding RNA of Hemicordylus capensis (graceful crag lizard), 794 nucleotides long. RefSeq lists it as uncharacterized. The record is from RefSeq and is a predicted model, not a curated record. NCBI's taxonomy places the organism in Eukaryota, Metazoa, Chordata, Lepidosauria, Squamata, Cordylidae. The transcript has 4 exons.